GCACUCUGUUUUUCUCUUCAAUUUGUAUAAAUCUUUUACCUUUUACUAAAGAUUUCUGUAGAGAGGAACAUUUAUGAGUUUGUACCCAAUUUUUUGAGGCUUUGUUUUGGUGAGGCU
Small nuclear RNA from Gopherus evgoodei (Goodes thornscrub tortoise), 117 nucleotides. Its record names the gene U5. It matches the Rfam family "U5 spliceosomal RNA". From Rfam's summary of the family: U5 RNA is a component of both types of known spliceosome. NCBI's taxonomy places the organism in Eukaryota, Metazoa, Chordata, Testudines, Testudinidae. The record is from Ensembl.